AUGCAAACACUCAAGGAAGGAACCUUUCACAACUUUUCCUGCAGUUCCCUGCCCACGUUUUGCAGCAGGACAGCUCCGGGUUGUUGCAGCCCCGCGGCCGGGAGGUGCCGUGCCCGCAUCCAGCUCAGCAUCACGCAGCGCCGCGGGGCCGGAGGGGGCUGCGGUGCUCGUGGGGGCUGCGGCCGGCAGCGGGCUGUCUCGGGAUGCCGCCGAGCCCCGUUCCCAGCCCUCGAGCCCGCCCGCCAGGUGGGGCCGUUGCCGUUCCGGCGAUGCUCGGGGAGGGAUGCGGAGCGAAGGGACCCGGAGGUGCGGGUCGGACGCGUGGGGAUGUCGGGUUGCAAUCGGGUCCCGGGCAACGGGGUGCUGCGAUGCACUGAGCAGGAAACUGUUCCAGCUCCGACCUCAGGGCUCUUCCAGCCUGUGCUGCAGCUGAUACAAAGAGCAGUUCCUUAUCCACCCCGCUUCCCUGCUGGGCCCGCUGUGUGCCGCGGCCGGAUGCCUUCUUCCCCACGAAGGUCCUUUGGUGGCUUGUGCUCGGGUUCUUCGUCCGCUGGGAACGGAGCUCCGGGCUUCAGGACCGCCUCUGCGCCGGCGAAUGGUGCGGAUGCUUCGCUCGCCUGGUGGAUCAUUUCCCUCGUGCAUCUCCUGGUGGGACUGCAGGAGCUGGCAGCCUGACACACGCCUUGGAUCUCCAUGCCUCAACAACAAAGGCUCCCUGCAUGAGACAAGAUGCAGCGUCGUUAAUAUGGACGGCUCAUCGUCGCACCGUGCAUUGCAAAUUGUGGGACAUGCUUCUUCAGUGGCUGAGCCGUGUUUUAAUGUUACUGUCACAUCAAAUAUUUGUUGCUUUGAGUCCGUAAGUGACAGAGUCAUAAAGUGCGGUGAUAGCCAGCAUCCUAAGUGUUUUUGAUGCCUUAUGAGGAUCCAGAUAUUGAAAAUAAACCACACGCAUCUAGCA
RNAcentral lists this long non-coding RNA (958 nucleotides) under Coturnix japonica (Japanese quail). Its description in RNAcentral is "lncRNA (ENSCJPG00005018110.1)". Lineage: Eukaryota; Metazoa; Chordata; Aves; Galliformes; Phasianidae. The record is from RNAcentral.